AGGUACUAUGCCAGAAAAAAUGGGCUAUCUUGAUGAGAUAGAAAAUGGGAUCUUCUCCUUAGUGCUUA
This 68-nucleotide transfer RNA is filed under the name Cryptonema producta. RNAcentral describes it as "tRNA-Ile". The record is from RNAcentral. Lineage: Eukaryota; Metazoa; Mollusca; Bivalvia; Venerida; Veneridae.